GACGAACGCUGGCGGCGUGCUUAACACAUGCAAGUCGAACGGAAAGGCCCUGCUUUUGUGGGGUGCUCGAGUGGCGAACGGGUGAGUAACACGUGAGUAACCUGCCCUUGACUUUGGGAUAACUUCAGGAAACUGGGGCUAAUACCGGAUAGGAGCUCCUGCUGCAUGGUGGGGGUUGGAAAGUUUCGGCGGUUGGGGAUGGACUCGCGGCUUAUCAGCUUGUUGGUGGGGUAGUGGCUUACCAAGGCUUUGACGGGUAGCCGGCCUGGGAGGGUGACCGGCCACAUGAGGACUGAGAUACGGCGCAGACUCCUACGGGAGGCAGUAGUGGGGAAUAUUGCACAGUGGGCGGAAGCCUGAUGCAGAAACGCCGCGUGCGGGAUGACGGCCUUCGGGUUGUAAACCGCUUUCGCCUGUGACGAAGCGUGAGUGACGGUAAUGGGUAAAGAAGCACCGGCUAACUACGUG
RNAcentral lists this ribosomal RNA (468 nucleotides) under uncultured bacterium. RNAcentral's name for it is "partial 16S ribosomal RNA". It matches the Rfam family "Bacterial small subunit ribosomal RNA", at positions 28 to 507 of the family's 1533-position model. The record is from RNAcentral.